RNAcentral lists this transfer RNA (72 nucleotides) under Cladonia macilenta KoLRI003786. RNAcentral's name for it is "tRNA-Pro (AGG) (tRNA-Pro-AGG-1-1)". Lineage: Eukaryota; Fungi; Ascomycota; Lecanoromycetes; Lecanorales; Cladoniaceae. The record is from RNAcentral.
GCUUGCAGGGUCUAGUGGUAUGAUUCUCGCUUAGGGUGCGAGAGGCCCCGCGUUCGAAUCGCGGCCCGAGCC